RNAcentral lists this transfer RNA (67 nucleotides) under Sphaerodactylus townsendi. RNAcentral's name for it is "tRNA-Ala". The record is from RNAcentral. Lineage: Eukaryota; Metazoa; Chordata; Lepidosauria; Squamata; Sphaerodactylidae.
GGUGGCUCAGUGGUAGAACAUCUGCUUGGCAUGCAAAAGGUCCCAGGUUCAAUCCCCAGCAUCUCUA